AGUAAAGCUACUAAGGGCGCAUGGCGGAUGCCUUGGCGUCGGUAGGCGAUGAAGGACGUGGUAAGCUGCGAUAAGCUCCGGUGAGGUGCACACAACCGUUGAUCCGGAGAUUUCCGAAUGGGGAAACCCAGCACGGCAAAACCGUGUUACGCGUCGAUGAAUCCAUAGUCGAUUGCGAGCUAACGGGGUGAACUGAGCCAUCUAAGUAGCCCCAGGAAGAGAAAGAAACCUCGAUUUCCUCAGUAGCGGCGAGCGAAAGGGAAAGAGCCUAAACCCAGCUGCAUGUAAGCCAGCAUGCGUUGUGCAGUGGGUGUAGCGGGACCUGUUUUGACCCGAGUGCUGCGAGGGUCGGAGAGUUACAAAGGCGACGGCUAGUCGAACAGUCUGGAAAGUCUGACCACAGAAGGUGCUAGUCCUGUAGACAAAAGCUGAUCGUUCUCUCUAUGAACAGGCACCCAAGUACCAUGGGACACGUGAAAUCCUGUGGGAAUCCGGGAGGACCAUCUCCCAAGGCUAAAUACUCACCGACGACCGAUAGUGAACAAGUACCGUGAGGGAAAGGUGAAAAGAACCCCGAGAGGGGAGUGAAAUAGUACCUGAAACCAUGUGCCUACAAGCGCUGGGAGGACGACCCCGGACCUUCGGGUCCAGGCAAGUCUGACCGGGUGCCUUUUGCAUAAUGAGCCGGCGAGUUUAUCUGUGUAGCAAGGUUAAGCGUAUUAAUGCGCGGAGCCGUAGCGAAAGCGAGUCUGAAUAGGGCGACUAGUUGCGCGGAUAAGACCCGAAGCUGAAUGAUCUAUCCAUGGCCAGGAUGAAGCGCAUGUAACAGUGCGUGGAAGACCGAACCGACCAAAGUUGAAAAUUUGGCGGAUGAGCUGUGGAUAGGGGUGAAAGGCCAAUCAAAUUCAGAGAUAUCUGGUUCUCCCCGAAAUGUCUUUAGGGACAGCCUCGCGUGAUGUGUAACGGAGGUAGAGCACUGAUUGGGCUAGGGGGGCUACAACCCUACCAAACCCAUUCAAACUCCGAAUGCCGUCUACAUUAACGCGGGAGUGAGUCUGCGAGGGAUAAGCUUCGUAGGCGAGAGGAAAACACUCCAGACCACCAGCUAAGGUCCCCAAGUAUAUGCUAAGUGUAAAAGGAUGUGGAGUUACACAGACAACCAGGAUGUUGGCUUAGAAGCAGCCAUCAUUUAAAGAAAGCGUAACAGCUCACUGGUCAAGUGAUUCCGCGCCGAUAAUUGAUGGGACUAAGCAUAUCACCGAAGCUGUGGGAUCAUACCCUUGGGGUAUGAUCGGUAGGGGAGCAUUCCACUGUAGGGUGAAGGUAAACCGGCAAGGUUUGCUGGACGACGUGGAAGUGAUUAUGCCGGCACGAGUAGCGAUAAGACAGGCGAGAAACCUGUCCACCGAAAGCCUAAGGUUUCCUGAGCAAGGCUAAUCCGCUCAGGGUAAGUCGGUCCCUAAGCCCAGGCCGAAAGGCGUAAGCGAUGGGAAUCAGGUCAACAUUCCUGAACCACCGACCGGACGUUUGUACGAAGGGGUUACGCAGGAGUGAAAGGUCAGCCGGGUGUUGGAUGUCCCGGUUCAAGCUGGUAGGAGGAUCCCCUAGGGAAAUCCGGGGGGUCAUUCAACUCCGAGAAGUGAUGAGGAGUCCAUUUGGACACAAACUGGCCCUAAUCAUACUGCCAAGAAAAACCUCUAAGGAGUUCGGUAGGUGACCGUACCGUAAACGGACACACGUAGGCGAGAAGAGUAUUCUAAGGUGCUCGAGAGAACCCUUGUUAAGGAACUCGGCAAAAUAACCCCGUAACUUCGGAAGAAGGGGUGCCCCUUUUGGCAAUGCUCCUUGCGGGCAAAGCUGAGGGGGGUUGCAAUAACCAGGAUCUAGCGACUGUUUACCAAAAACACAGGUCUCUGCGAAGUCGUAAGACGACGUAUAGGGACUGACACCUGCCCGGUGCCGGAAGGUUAAGGGGAUUCGUCAGCCCGCAAGGGCGAAGCGUUGAACCGAAGCCCCGGUAAACGGCGGCCGUAACUAUAACGGUCCUAAGGUAGCGAAAUUCCUUGUCGGGUAAGUUCCGACCUGCACGAAUGGUGUAACGACUGGAUCGCUGUCUCAACAAGGGACUCGGUGAAACUGUAGCAGCGGUGAAGAUGCCGCUUACCCGCGACUGGACGGAAAGACCCCGUGCACCUUUACUGUAGCGUGGUAUUGAGUCUUCGCAGGUCAUGUGUAGGAUAGGUGGGAGACUUUGAAGCGGGUACGCUAGUAUCCGUGGAGUCAUCCUUGAAAUACCACCCUUGAUUUGUAAGGGCUCUAACCUCGUGCCGUGAAUCCGGGCGAGGAACAGUGCUUCGUAGGCAGUUUGACUGGGGCGGUCGCCUCCUAAAAUGUAACGGAGGCGCACAAAGGUUCCCUCAGCAUGGUCGGCAAUCAUGCGGAGAGUGUAAAGGCACAAGGGAGCUUGACUGCGAGACAAACAAGUCGAGCAGGUGCGAAAGCAGGUCUUAGUGAUCCGGCGGUCCCGUAUGGAAGGGCCGUCGCUCAACGGAUAAAAGGUACGCCGGGGAUAACAGGCUGAUCUCCCCCAAGAGUCCACAUCGACGGGGAGGUUUGGCACCUCGAUGUCGGCUCAUCGCAUCCUGGGGCUGGAGAAGGUCCCAAGGGUUCGGCUGUUCGCCGAUUAAAGCGGUACGUGAGCUGGGUUCAGAACGUCGUGAGACAGUUCGGUCCCUCUCCUUCGCGGGUGCAGGAGAUUUGAGGAGAGUUGUCCUUAGUACGAGAGGACCGGGAUGAACGGACCCCUAGUGCACCAGUUGUCGUGCCAACGGCAUGGCUGGGUAGCUAUGUCCGGACGAGAUAACCGCUGAAAGCAUCUAAGCGGGAAACUCACUCCAAAACUAGAUCUCCCAGGGCUUAAGCCCUCUAAAGGCCCCUUGUAGAUUACGAGGUUGAUAGGCCACAGGUGUAAGCGCAGCAAUGCGUUCAGCCGAGUGGUACUAAUUGGCCGUGCGGCUUUGCUCA
RNAcentral lists this ribosomal RNA (3024 nucleotides) under Candidatus Krumholzibacteriia bacterium. RNAcentral's name for it is "Candidatus Krumholzibacteria bacterium Bacterial large subunit ribosomal RNA". It matches the Rfam family "Bacterial large subunit ribosomal RNA". Lineage: Bacteria; Candidatus Krumholzibacteriota; Candidatus Krumholzibacteriia. The record is from Rfam by way of RNAcentral.